RNAcentral lists this unclassified non-coding RNA (333 nucleotides) under soil metagenome. Its description in RNAcentral is "partial contains 5.8S ribosomal RNA, internal transcribed spacer 2, and large subunit ribosomal RNA". The stretch from base 1 to 120 matches the Rfam family "5.8S ribosomal RNA", at positions 35 to 154 of the family's 154-position model. The record is from RNAcentral.
GAUGAAGAACGCAGCGAAAUGCGAUAAGUAGUGUGAAUUGCAGAAUUCAGUGAAUCGUCGAAUCUUUGAACGCACAUUGCGCCCCUCGGUAUUCCGUGGGGCAUGCCUGUUCGAGCGUCAUUUACCCCUCAAGCACUGCUUGGUGUUGGGCGUCUGUCCCGCUUCGCGCGCGGACUCGCCCCAAAGGUAUUGGCAGCGGUCGUGCCAGCUUCUCGCGCAGCACAUUGCGCUUCUCGAGGCGGUCGAUCGGCGUCCACGAAGCUCACCUCCACCGUUUGACCUCGGAUCAGGUAGGGAUACCCGCUGAACUUAAGCAUAUCAAUAAGCGGAGGA